UACGAAGGGGGCUAGCGUUGCUCGGAAUCACUGGGCGUAAAGCGCACGUAGGCGGCUUCUUAAGUCAGGGGUGAAAUCCUGGAGCUCAACUCCAGAACUGCCUUUGAUACUGAGGAGCUUGAGUCCGGGAGAGGUGAGUGGAACUGCGAGUGUAGAGGUGAAAUUCGUAGAUAUUCGCAAGAACACCAGUGGCGAAGGCGGCUCACUGGCCCGGUACUGACGCUGAGGCGCGAAAGCGUGGGGAGCAAACGGG
RNAcentral lists this ribosomal RNA (253 nucleotides) under uncultured bacterium. RNAcentral's name for it is "partial 16S ribosomal RNA". It matches the Rfam family "Bacterial small subunit ribosomal RNA", at positions 524 to 776 of the family's 1533-position model. The record is from RNAcentral.